GUCUUACAUGAAUAUAAUAUCAUUGUUUGUUAGCCAAGGAUGACUUGCCUGCACCUUGAUUGCAAGACGAGGGUUUCAAGUGGCUGGAAGCCUCUCUUGUUUGGUUGCCAGGCAGUCUCCUUGGCUAAGUCACAGGCUCUUAUCUUUCAUGCUAGGCCU
Molecule: microRNA precursor, 159 nt
Filed under: Citrus sinensis (sweet orange)
Lineage: Eukaryota; Viridiplantae; Streptophyta; Magnoliopsida; Sapindales; Rutaceae
Source: RNAcentral